AGUGAACGCUGGCGGUAGGCCUAACACAUGCAAGUCGAACGGCAGCACAGUAAGAGCUUGCUCUUACGGGUGGCGAGUGGCGGACGGGUGAGGAAUACAUCGGAAUCUACUUUUUCGUGGGGGAUAACGUAGGGAAACUUACGCUAAUACCGCAUACGACCUACGGGUGAAAGCAGGGGAUCUUCGGACCUUGCGCGAUUGAAUGAGCCGAAGUCGGAUUAGCUAGUUGGCGGGGUAAAGGCCCACCAAGGCGACGAUCCGUAGCUGGUCUGAGAGGAUGACCAGCCACACUGGAACUGAGACACGGUCCAGACUCCUACGGGAGGCAGCAGUGGGGAAUAUUGGACAAUGGGCGCAAGCCUGAUCCAGCCAUACCGCGUGGGUGAAGAAGGCCUUCGGGUUGUAAAGCCCUUUUGUUGGGAAAGAAAAGCAGCAGGUUAAUACCCCGCUGUUCUGACGGUACCCAAAGAAUAAGCACCGGCUAACUUCGUG
RNAcentral lists this ribosomal RNA (492 nucleotides) under uncultured bacterium. Its description in RNAcentral is "partial 16S ribosomal RNA". It matches the Rfam family "Bacterial small subunit ribosomal RNA", at positions 29 to 507 of the family's 1533-position model. The record is from RNAcentral.